GGGCCGGUGGCUUAGAAGGCAAAAGCACUUGUCAGCCAGGCAAGAGUUCGCGGGUUCAAGCCCCGCCCGGCCCA
RNAcentral lists this transfer RNA (74 nucleotides) under Candidatus Bathyarchaeota archaeon. RNAcentral's name for it is "tRNA-Gly". It matches the Rfam family "tRNA". From Rfam's summary of the family: Transfer RNA (tRNA) molecules are approximately 80 nucleotides in length. Lineage: Archaea; Thermoproteati; Candidatus Bathyarchaeota. The record is from RNAcentral.